RNAcentral lists this ribosomal RNA (495 nucleotides) under uncultured bacterium. RNAcentral describes it as "partial 16S ribosomal RNA". It matches the Rfam family "Bacterial small subunit ribosomal RNA", at positions 28 to 507 of the family's 1533-position model. The record is from RNAcentral.
GAUGAACGCUGGCGGCGUGCCUAAUACAUGCAAGUAGAACGCUGAAGGAGGAGCUUGCUCUUCUGGAUGAGUUGCGAACGGGUGAGUAAAGCGUAGGGAACCUGCCUGGUAGCGGGGGAUAACUAUUGGAAACGAUAGCUAAUACCGCAUGACAAAAGUUAUUGCAUGAUAACUGUUAAAAAGGGGCAACUGUUCCACUACCAGAUGGACCUGCGUUGUAUUAGUUAGUUGGUGAGGUAACCGCGCACCAAGGCGACGAUACAUAGCCGGCCUGAGAGGGGGGUCGGCCACCCUGGGACCGGGACCCCGCCCCGGCUCCUACGGGAGGCCGCCGUAGGGGAUCUUCGGCCAUGGACGGAAGUCUUACCGGGCAACGCCGCGUGGGUGGAGGAGGUUUUCGGAUCGUAAAGCUCUUUUGUAAGGGAAGAACGAGUGUGAGAGUGGAAAGUGCACGCUGUGACGGUACCUUACCAGAAAGGGACGGCUAACUACGUG